CUGAAUUGUCAACACGAGUUGUUGCUGGUCCCCAAAAGGGGGCAUGUGCACGCUCUGUUUACACAUCCACUCACACCUGUGCACCCAAUGUAGUUCUAUGGCUUGGGAGGCUCUGCUCCUCCUGCUGUGGCUCUGCACCUUUACACAUACCCUGUAAUAAAGUCUUAUGGAAUGCAUGCCGCGUUUAACGCAAUACAAUA
RNAcentral lists this unclassified non-coding RNA (200 nucleotides) under uncultured fungus. RNAcentral describes it as "sequence contains ITS1, 5.8S rRNA gene". Lineage: Eukaryota; Fungi. RNAcentral also lists the same sequence under 1 other name. The record is from RNAcentral.